CCUACGGGAGGCAGCAGUGGGGAAUUUUGGACAAUGGGGGCAACCCUGAUCCAGCAAUGCCGCGUGAGUGAAGAAGGCCCUCGGGUUGUAAAGCUCUUUUGUCAGGGAAGAAAAGGUUGCGGCUAAUAUCCGCGACUCAUGACGGUACCUGAAGAAUAAGCACCGGCUAACUACGUGCCAGCAGCCGCGGUAAUACGUAGGGUGCAAGCGUUAAUCGGAAUUACUGGGCGUAAAGCGUGCGCAGGCGGUUUUGUAAGACUGUCGUGAAAUCCCCGGGCUUAACCUGGGAAUGGCGAUGGUGACUGCAAGGCUAGAGUUUGGCAGAGGGGGGUAGAAUUCCACGUGUAGCAGUGAAAUGCGUAGAUAUGUGGAGGAACACCGAUGGCGAAGGCAGCCCCCUGGGUCAAAACUGACGCUCAUGCACGAAAGCGUGGGGAGCAAACAGGAUUAGAUACCCUGGUAGUCCACGCCCUAAACGAUGUCUACUAGUUGUCGGGCCUUAAUUGACUUGGUAACGCAGCUAACGCGUGAAGUAGACCGCCUGGGGAUCGGUCGCAAGNUUAAAACNAAGAUGACGNNGAGAGNGCGAGAGACAGAGGAGAGG
Molecule: ribosomal RNA, 604 nt
Filed under: uncultured bacterium
Lineage: Bacteria
Description: bacterial SSU rRNA
Rfam family: Bacterial small subunit ribosomal RNA
Source: RNAcentral